AGCCUGAACAGAAUGAGUACCAUUCCUCCAAACUUAGAGACAUGAAGAACCUCACAGUGAACCCAGGUUCCAGGACCAAGAUCUAUGUGGGCAGACAGAAGAAGACCACAGCUCAAUUCAAAUGGAAGACACAACGAUCGGAAAGGAUGUGGCUAAGAGGAAGGACUUGUAUCUGCUAAGAGUCUGCUGGAGUCAUGAGCAAUAACAGCACCUUCUAUUUUAGGCCUGAUAGUGAUAAAGUUCACUCAAAGUCUGA
Long non-coding RNA from Suricata suricatta (meerkat), 256 nucleotides. RefSeq lists it as uncharacterized. The record is from RefSeq and is a predicted model, not a curated record. NCBI's taxonomy places the organism in Eukaryota, Metazoa, Chordata, Mammalia, Carnivora, Herpestidae. The transcript has 2 exons.